GGAAAGGUGCCAGAGCGGUUGAAUGGGGCGGUCUCGAAAACCGUUGACCUGAAAAGGUCCCAGGGUUCGAAUCCCUGCCUUUCCGCCA
RNAcentral lists this transfer RNA (88 nucleotides) under Candidatus Ancaeobacter aquaticus. RNAcentral describes it as "tRNA-Ser". It matches the Rfam family "tRNA". From Rfam's summary of the family: Transfer RNA (tRNA) molecules are approximately 80 nucleotides in length. Their secondary structure includes four short double-helical elements and three loops (D, anti-codon, and T loops). The record is from RNAcentral. Lineage: Bacteria; Pseudomonadati; Candidatus Auribacterota; Candidatus Ancaeobacteria; Candidatus Ancaeobacterales; Candidatus Ancaeobacteraceae.